RNAcentral lists this ribosomal RNA (494 nucleotides) under uncultured bacterium. RNAcentral's name for it is "partial 16S ribosomal RNA". It matches the Rfam family "Bacterial small subunit ribosomal RNA", at positions 28 to 507 of the family's 1533-position model. The record is from RNAcentral.
GACGAACGCUGGCGGCGUGCUUAACACAUGCAAGUCGAACGGUGAAGCGCCUUCCUUUUUGGUGGGUGUGGAUGAGUGGCGAACGGGUGAGUAACACGUGAGUAACCUGCCCCCUUCUUCUGGAUAACCGCAUGAAAGUGUGGCUAAUACGGGAUAUUCUGGGUCUGUCGCAUGAUGGGUCUGGGAAAGAUAUUGUUUCGGUGUGGGAUGGGAUCGCGGCCUAUCAGGUUGUUGGUGGGGUGAUGGCCUACCAGGGCGGUGAGGGGUAGCCGGCCUGAGAGGGUGGACGGCAACACGGGGACUGCGACGCGGAGCAGACUACUACGGGAGGCAGCAGGGGAGAAUGGUGCACAAUGGGAGCAAGGCUGAUGCAGCGACGCGGCGUGAGGGAUGGAGGCCUUCGGGUUGUGAACCUCUUUCGCCAGUGAAGCAGGCCUGCCUAGUUUGUGGGUGGGUUGACGGUAGCUGGAUAAGAAGCGCCGGCUAACUACGUG